Molecule: small nuclear RNA, 107 nt
Organism: Molossus molossus (Pallas's mastiff bat)
Lineage: Eukaryota; Metazoa; Chordata; Mammalia; Chiroptera; Molossidae
Source: RefSeq, a predicted model, not a curated record
AUGCUCACUUCCAUAGCACAUGUGCUAAAAUUGGAACAAUACAGAGAAGAUUAGCAUAGCCCCUGCGCAAGGAUGACACACAAAUUUUUGAAGCUUUCCAUAUUUUU